This 465-nucleotide ribosomal RNA is filed under the name uncultured bacterium. RNAcentral's name for it is "bacterial SSU rRNA". It matches the Rfam family "Bacterial small subunit ribosomal RNA", at positions 198 to 644 of the family's 1533-position model. The record is from RNAcentral.
GGAGGAAAGUAGGGGAUCGUAAGACCUUGUGCUUUUGGAGCGGCCGAUGCCUGAUUAGCUAGUUGGUGGGGUAAAGGCCUACCAAGGCGUCGAUCAGUAGUUGGUCUGAGAGGACGACCAGCCACACUGGGACUGAGACACGGCCCAGACUCCUACGGGAGGCAGCAGUGGGGAAUUUUGGACAAUGGGCGCAAGCCUGAUCCAGCAAUGCCGCGUGAGUGAAGAAGGCCUUCGGGUUGUAAAGCUCUUUCAGUCGAGAAGAAAAGGUUGCGACUAAUAAUCGCAAUUCAUGACGGUACCGACAGAAGAAGCACCGGCUAACUACGUGCCAGCAGCCGCGGUAAUACGUAGGGUGCAAGCGUUAAUCGGAAUUACUGGGCGUAAAGGGUGCGCAGGCGGCUCUGUAAGUCAGAUGUGAAAUCCCCGGGCUUAACCUGGGAACUGCGUUUGAAACUACAAAGCUAG